RNAcentral lists this unclassified non-coding RNA (654 nucleotides) under uncultured Thelephoraceae. RNAcentral describes it as "sequence contains ITS1, 5.8S rRNA gene, ITS2". The stretch from base 216 to 370 matches the Rfam family "5.8S ribosomal RNA". Lineage: Eukaryota; Fungi; Basidiomycota; Agaricomycetes; Thelephorales; Thelephoraceae. The record is from RNAcentral.
GGAAGGAUCAUUACUGAAUUGUCGACACGAGUUGUUGCUGGUCCCUCAAACGGGGGCAUGUGCACGCUCUGUUUACACAUCCACUCACACCUGUGCACCCUCUGUAGUUCUGUGGCCUGGGGGACUCUGUCGCCCUUGCUGUGGUCCUACGUCUUUACACACACACUGUAACAGAGUUUUAUGGAAUGUAUGCCGCGUUUAACGCAAUACAAUACAACUUUCAGCAACGGAUCUCUUGGCUCUCGCAUCGAUGAAGAACGCAGCGAAAUGCGAUAAGUAAUGUGAAUUGCAGAAUUCAGUGAAUCAUCGAAUCUUUGAACGCACCUUGCGCCCUUUGGCUAUUCUGAAGGGCAUGCCUGUUUGAGUAUCAUGAACACCUCAACUCUCAUGGCUUGCCAUGACGAGAUUGGACUUUGGGGGUCUUGCUGGCCUAUGGUCGGCUCCUCUUAAAUCGAUCAGCUUGCCAGUGUUUGGUGGCAUCACAGGUGUGAUAACUAUCUACGCUUGUGGUUUUCCACCAGGUAACCUUCAGUGAUGGAGGUUCGCUGGAGCUCAUAAAUGUCUCUCCUCAGCGAGGACAGCUUUUUGAACGUUUGAUCUCAAAUCAGGUAGGACUACCCGCUGAACUUAAGCAUAUCAAUAAGCGGAGGAANU